AGGCUGUCGUUUGCACAAUUUCACAAAUAAUCACCGGGACCGAAACAUACCUGUCAACUUUUUCCGGGUUUAUCACAUAUUUGAACUUUUUCCCCCCGCUGUCUUAGGAGGAGCUGCAGGGCCGUCGCAAGGGGGUGCAAGGUCCUGUGUGAACUUGACAGGUGCGAGGCCCUUUUCACUUACGUGCAUGAAAUCAUGCGAUACACGUAGCCUACCUUACACAUAGCCUAGGCUAC
Alosa sapidissima (American shad) is the source of this 236-nucleotide long non-coding RNA. RefSeq lists it as uncharacterized. NCBI's taxonomy places the organism in Eukaryota, Metazoa, Chordata, Actinopteri, Clupeiformes, Clupeidae. The record is from RefSeq and is a predicted model, not a curated record. The transcript is spliced from 4 exons.